GAGGGGUUGACCUUUUCUUCCUUAUGUCUCAACUAUUCAUCCUCAGAGGUGAGGGUGCAAAAUGUUACAUGCUCUUCUCUUGUCAAUCUUUUCUUGAUUCCUGAUAAUGAGUGGAUGACAAGAGAAUGUAACUCCAUGGAGUGAGUGCUUCGAUUGUAGUUCAUAUUUUGUGGCACCCUUCUUUCUUCUUGGCUACAAGUGAGUUGUGUCUCUCUUCAUCUCUAGUGUGAG
This 231-nucleotide long non-coding RNA is filed under the name Sorghum bicolor (sorghum). RNAcentral's name for it is "long non-coding RNA (SBIC_LNC010141)". Lineage: Eukaryota; Viridiplantae; Streptophyta; Magnoliopsida; Poales; Poaceae. The record is from RNAcentral.